GUUUUUGUAGUUGAAGCACAACGGUGGUUUUUCAAGCCAUUAGUCUUGGUUAAAGUCCGAGCAAGAAUU
RNAcentral lists this transfer RNA (69 nucleotides) under Krefftichthys anderssoni. RNAcentral's name for it is "tRNA-Glu". It matches the Rfam family "tRNA". Rfam says of the family: Transfer RNA (tRNA) molecules are approximately 80 nucleotides in length. Their secondary structure includes four short double-helical elements and three loops (D, anti-codon, and T loops). The record is from RNAcentral. Lineage: Eukaryota; Metazoa; Chordata; Actinopteri; Myctophiformes; Myctophidae.